AACUAUAAUUUUGAAAAAUGAGUUCAUAUAAAUAUUAAAAGUUGUAACAAAAUUAUGUUAGAAUCCAAUUUUUUGUGAACGUGAAAGAAGUCGAGAGGUUUUUGGGAUUGUGAAGGUUUUGGGACAAGGAUUCGAGGAAAUUUCAGGGAAAUCAACUUUAACGGCAAAUUCGAGAGAUAGAUAGGACUUUGGUCCAGUGAUGGCCUGGUUCAGAGAGAGAUUAUGGUGGUCUCACGUCCAGAGAGGUAUACGAUUCAAAGAGGAACCAAAGACAUGGGAAUAUCAGUAACAUACCUCUGAUCUCAGUUAUUUUAGUACCACGUGCAUUUUAGAUGGAGAUGGUGACAUUGCAUUGUAUUUGCAUUAUGAUCUGUUUGAUUGUGAUUGAGAAUAUUGUUAUAUUCGUUAGUACUAUCCUGUCUCGCACAAUUUAACUGUUAAUAAUUGUUAGAUGUAUUACACCCCUUGUUUGUUGUUGUAGCGUCUGUGCUCCUCAGGAGUACAUGAAAUCCGGUAUAGAAGUAGCUAUUGAGUUACGGGAUGACAUUGAUGCCCCCUUUAGCUUUUAUCAUUGGGUUUUAGAGGGGCCACUCUGAUAUGUAACACGGGGGAUUGGGAUGUCUUCCGCCAUUUUGUUUUGUUUUAUUUGGUUGAAGUUUGUUGUUGAGACUCCAUGCCGGACAUUGUUUAAUAUUAUCUGCUUACCUAAUAUGACUAUCUAGUUUUUGGAGUUUUAUGUUUUACUGACACUCUAAUAUUUAAUUUUAAUUCCAACUAUUUCAUUAAAUGUCGAGUUGGGAAUUAGGAUGUUACAGACAUCACACAACAUACAAGCAAAGAUUGAAUGGAUCGCCAAGAAAUUUGUCCACAUAUUAAGACAUAAUCCUGAAAUGAAACCACUUAGACUUAUUACUGAAUCAAUUGACAAAUGGGGUGUGAAAUUUUCAGCUAACCAGGCAUAUAGAUCUAAAAGAAGAGUUGUAGAAAUAAUACAGGGCGCUGAAAGGGAUCAAUUCACUUACUUAAGGAGUUAUGCACAAGAGUUAUUGAACUCAAACCCUAGAAGUAAUGUUGUGUUUCAAUGUUGCGACUCUAUAUAUGGCACUGUGUUUGAAAGGAUUUACAUUUGUUUAGAGGCAUGUAAAGUUUGAUUUGAAAACACUUGUAUGCCACUUACAAGGCUUGAUGCAUGUUUUUUAAAGGAGACUAUGAGGGACAAAUGAUGGCAGCAGUUGAUAGAGAUAGAAAUAAUCAAAUAUUACCCAUUGCAUAUUUUAUAGUAGAGGCUAAAACAAAGGAUCCUUGGGAGUGGUUCAUAAUCCUCCUAGUUGAUGACUUGCAAAACAUCAAUCAAAGGCCACGUGCUUUCAUAUUUGAUGAACAAAAGGAAAACAACUUUUCAGCAGACUUAUUCACAUAUCAUAUACCCAACCAAUGAACCACAACUUUGACUUGUACAUGAUCAGUUACCACUCCAUCCACCAUUGAUAAGAAAGGCAAUUGAACGUCCCAAAAAGAUAAAGAACAAGACCAAUGAUGAACCAAGAAACACACACGUGCUGCCAAGAAAACUAGCAACUAUUACAUGUCACAAGUGUGGAGCAAUGGGACACAACAUUAGGAGUUGUAAGGGAAAGAUAGUUGUUGAUAGGGCUAUAACAACCAGACCAAGAAAUAUAAGAUCAAGAAGACUGCAGUUACCAAGAAGGUAAAGACAAAGAAGAUUAACAUUGAAACUGAAAUUUGUUUUUCUUCAUAAGCAACAACUCCUACACAACCAAACCAAUAUUAAAUUUAGCAUGUAGAAGUACUUUUUGGAUUGUUUGCAAUGUCUGUGAUGAAACUAUAUGUCACCACUAAGUUGUUUUUUUGUUAUGUUUGUAA
Long non-coding RNA from Lathyrus oleraceus (garden pea), 1884 nucleotides. RefSeq lists it as uncharacterized. The record is from RefSeq and is a predicted model, not a curated record. The transcript is spliced from 3 exons. NCBI's taxonomy places the organism in Eukaryota, Viridiplantae, Streptophyta, Magnoliopsida, Fabales, Fabaceae.